UAUUAAUGAUAAAUGACCUCCGGUUAGAUGGCAUAGAUACAUGGAAAUACGUCGACGACACCUCUACAUCAGAGAUUAUUCAAAAAGGCACGGAUAGUAAUAUCCAACAUAGUUCCUCUGAACUCCAGGAGUGGUCUUUACAAAAUAGAUUCCAAUUAAAUUCAAGCAAGUGCAAAGAAUUAAGAAUUGACUUCAAACGGGAAAAGCAACAAUUUAAUCCUGUUAUGGUAAACGAUCAACCGGUUGAAGUGGUCAAACAUGCUAAACUACUGGGUCUUACUAUUUCCAGC
This is a non-coding RNA of Paramuricea clavata, 290 nucleotides long. NCBI's taxonomy places the organism in Eukaryota, Metazoa, Cnidaria, Anthozoa, Malacalcyonacea, Plexauridae. The record is from the annotation of a GenBank genome assembly.